CCAUAGGGGGUAUGACAGCGACUAACAGCGUUCUAACAGAUCCAGACGGAUCCAAACAGGGUUUAAACCUCGUUUAAUAGUGCUGUGUGUGAAGUGCUCACCUAUCUUUAGGGGAACAACGUUGCAAUGCGAGAGCACAAGCGGCUCAUGGGGGCAGCAAUGCUUUGAUUGGGUGGGACAGGCUGCGUGUGUUGACCGGGGAGUAAGAUUAUGCCGUACCUCGGGGUGCACUACAUACAGGCCCAGGCAGCAUUUCACUGCCUGAACGGAGCAACGUUGCUGCAGUUAACUGUUGGCCUCGCACUCUGGGAACCGGCUUCCGCUGGGGGGAAAGUGAGGAAGCGAGCCGCAUUUGGCCCUCGCCGCAAUGUGCCGCAGUAAGAAGGUUGCUGCGCCUAAGCCUUGUAUGGCCCUAUAUAUCACAUACUGGAGUAUCCUGGGCUUAUCACGGGAUUCGCAUCCACCGAUUGGUCCUUUCUGAAGUCGUGCUAUCAUAUAUACACUUUUC
RNAcentral lists this long non-coding RNA (508 nucleotides) under Volvox carteri. RNAcentral's name for it is "long non-coding RNA (VCAR_LNC001688)". The record is from RNAcentral. Lineage: Eukaryota; Viridiplantae; Chlorophyta; Chlorophyceae; Chlamydomonadales; Volvocaceae.